This 507-nucleotide ribosomal RNA is filed under the name Ethmostigmus trigonopodus pygomenasoides. RNAcentral describes it as "partial large subunit ribosomal RNA". The record is from RNAcentral. Lineage: Eukaryota; Metazoa; Arthropoda; Chilopoda; Scolopendromorpha; Scolopendridae.
UAAAACAUGUCUUCUUGAUGGUUAAUUAGAAGUCUAGCCUGCCCAAUGUGAGAUUAAUGGCCGCGGUAUCUUGACCGUGCGAAGGUAGCAUAAUGAAUAGUCUAUUAAUUGUGGUCUGGAAUGAAGGGUUUGACGAGGGAUAGCUUUCUUAAUUUUAAAAUUGAAUUUGAAUUAUUGGUGAAAAUGCUAAUAUGUAUUAGAUGGACAAGAAGACCCUAUAGAGCUUUAUAUUUAUCUUAAUCUUAGUGGUAUAUUUGUUAAGUAUAUAUUUUGUUGGGGCGACAUUGAAUAUUAAACAUUUAAUUUGAGAUCUUUAUUAAAGGUAAGGUGAUCCAUUAUUAAUGAUUUGAGACUAAGCUACCUUAGGGAUAACAGCGUAAUUUUAUCUUAGAGUUCUUAUCGAUGAUGAAGUUUGCGACCUCGAUGUUGGAUUAAAAUUCCUAUGGGACGCAGGAGUUUCAUAAGGUAGUCYGUUCGACUAUUAAAAUUUUACAUGAUCUGAGUAAA